Molecule: ribosomal RNA, 227 nt
Filed under: uncultured bacterium
Lineage: Bacteria
Description: partial 16S ribosomal RNA
Rfam family: Bacterial small subunit ribosomal RNA
Source: RNAcentral
AAGUCAGAUGUGAAAGCCUCCUGUUCAACGGGAGAAUUGCAUCUGAAACUACUGAUCUUGAGUGUAGGAGGGGAGAAUGGAACUUCUGGUGGAGCGGUGAAAUGCGUAGAUAUCAGAAGGAACGCCGGCGGCGAAAGCGAUUCUCUGGCCUAUUACUGACACUCAGUGUGCGAAAGCUAGGGGAGCAAACGGGAUUAGAUACCCCGGUAGUCCUAGCCGUAAACGAU